GACGAACGCUGGCGGCGUGCCUAAUACAUGCAGGUCGAACGCACAGUUUAUACCGUAGCUUGCUCCACCAUAGACUGUGAGUUGCGAACGGGUGAGUAACGCGUAGGUUACCUGCCUGGUAUCGGGGGAUAACUAUUGGACUCGAUAGCUAAUAUCGCUUAAUAUUAAUUGUUCCAUGGUAAUUAAUUGAAUUGUUCACUUUCACCACUACCAGAUGGACCUGCGGUGUAUUAGCUAGUAGGGGAGGUAACGGCUCAACUAGGCGACGAUACAUAGCCGACCUGGAAAGGGGGUCGGCCACACCGGGACUGAGACAAGGGCCAGACUCCUUCGGGAGGCAGCAGGAGGGAAACUUCGGCAAUGGACGGAAGGCUGGACGAGCAACGCCGGGUGGGAGAAGAAGGUUUUCGGAUCGGAAAGAUCGGUUGUAAGAGAAGAAAGGGUGUGGGAGUGGAAAGUGCACACUGUGACGGUAUCUGACCAGAAAGGGACGGCUAACUACGUG
RNAcentral lists this ribosomal RNA (505 nucleotides) under uncultured bacterium. RNAcentral's name for it is "partial 16S ribosomal RNA". It matches the Rfam family "Bacterial small subunit ribosomal RNA", at positions 28 to 507 of the family's 1533-position model. The record is from RNAcentral.